Molecule: long non-coding RNA, 543 nt
Filed under: Solanum tuberosum (potato)
Lineage: Eukaryota; Viridiplantae; Streptophyta; Magnoliopsida; Solanales; Solanaceae
Description: long non-coding RNA (STUB_LNC000626)
Source: RNAcentral
AGGGCUUCUUAGAGUUUCAUAAGGCUUAGGGUUGGGGGUUUAUCCCUAAGGUUUAGGGUUUAGGUUUCUUAGGGUUUGAGUUGAACAUUUAAGGUCUCCUAGGUUUUUUUGGGUCAUUCAGGGUGUAGGGUUUAGUGUUUUAGGUUUAGGGUUUUUCUAGAAUAGAGUUUAGGUUUGUUAGGUUUAAGAUUUUUUAGGUUUAGAGUUUUUAAAGUUUUUUUUGUUGUUUUUUAAUGUUUAUAUUUUCUUAGGAUUUAGGAUUUCUUAGAGUUUCAUUGGGCUUAAGGUUGGGGGUUUAUCCCUAAGGUUUAGGGUUUAGGUUUCUUAGGGUUUGAGUUGAACAUUUAAGGUCUCCUAGGUUUUUUUGGGUCAUUCAGGGUGUAGGGUUUAGUGUUUUAGGUUUAGGGUUUUUCUAGAAUAGAGUUUAGGUUUGUUAGGUUUAAGAUUUUUUAGAGGUUUUCUAGGGUUAGAGUUUAUAAAAAUAAAUUUAUUGUUUUUUAGGGUUUUGGGUUUCUUAGUCCUUUUUGGGUUUAGGGUUUGGGG